This 329-nucleotide unclassified non-coding RNA is filed under the name soil metagenome. RNAcentral describes it as "partial contains 5.8S ribosomal RNA, internal transcribed spacer 2, and large subunit ribosomal RNA". The stretch from base 1 to 120 matches the Rfam family "5.8S ribosomal RNA", at positions 35 to 154 of the family's 154-position model. The record is from RNAcentral.
GAUGAAGAACGUAGCGAAAUGCGAUAAGUAAUGUGAAUUGCAGAAUUCAGUGAAUCAUCGAAUCUUUGAACGCACAUUGCGCCCCCUGGUAUUCCGGGGGGCAUGCCUGUCCGAGCGUCAUUACAACCCUCAAGCUCAGCUUGGUGUUGGGCCCCGCCGCCCCGGCGGGCCCUAAAGUCAGUGGCGGUGCCGUCCGGCUCCGAGCGUAGUAAUUCUUCUCGCUCUGGAGGUCCGGUCGUGUGCUCGCCAGCAACCCCCAAUUUUUUUCAGGUUGACCUCGGAUCAGGUAGGGAUACCCGUUGAACUUAAGCAUAUCAAUAAGCGGAGGA